Molecule: ribosomal RNA, 460 nt
Filed under: uncultured bacterium
Lineage: Bacteria
Description: partial 16S ribosomal RNA
Rfam family: Bacterial small subunit ribosomal RNA
Source: RNAcentral
CCUACGGGAGGCAGCAGUGAGGAAUAUUGGUCAAUGGACGAGAGUCUGAACCAGCCAAGUAGCGUGAAGGAUGACUGCCCUAUGGGUUGUAAACUUCUUUUAUAUGGGAAUAAAAUGUUCCACGUGUGGGAUUUUGUAUGUACCAUAUGAAUAAGGAUCGGCUAACUCCGUGCCAGCAGCCGCGGUAAUACGGAGGAUCCGAGCGUUAUCCGGAUUUAUUGGGUUUAAAGGGAGCGUAGGGGGAUUGUUAAGUCAGUUGUGAAAUUUUGCGGCUCAACCGUAAAAUUGAAGUUGAAACUGGCAGUCUUGAGUACAGUAGAGGUGGGCGGAAUGCGUGGUGUAGCGGUGAAAUGCUUAGAUAUCACGAAGAACUCCGAUUGCGAAGGCAGCUCACUGGACUGCAACUGACACUGAGGCUCGAAAGUGUGGGUAUCAAACAGGAUUAGAUACCCUAGUAGUC